GUCCCUCGGGGACAUCCGAUAGAAUUGGCUCGAUACCAAAAAUAUUAAUUAGCAUGAUUCCUGCACGAGAAUGACACGCACAAAUCAAGAAACUCUAUAGGAAAUU
Molecule: small nuclear RNA, 106 nt
Filed under: Nicotiana attenuata
Lineage: Eukaryota; Viridiplantae; Streptophyta; Magnoliopsida; Solanales; Solanaceae
Source: RNAcentral